RNAcentral lists this long non-coding RNA (798 nucleotides) under Olea europaea (common olive). RNAcentral describes it as "long non-coding RNA (OEUR_LNC009772)". Lineage: Eukaryota; Viridiplantae; Streptophyta; Magnoliopsida; Lamiales; Oleaceae. The record is from RNAcentral.
UUGACUCUCACUAUGUACAUUACAAAGUUCUUAGUCAGCACAACAUUAUCAAUUGUACAAAUUACACCGUUUGACUCUCUCUAAGUACAUUAAGAAGUUCUUAGUCAGCACAGCAUUAUCAAAUGUAGAAAUUACAUAGUUUGACUCUCACUAUGUACAUUACAAAGUUCUUAGUCAGCACAACAUUAUCAAAUGUACAAAUUACACCGUUCACCCAUUCUUCAGAUGAUUCGUUAGUUAUGCGGGUAAGCUUGACAACAUGAUAGAAAAUAUCAUAUGCUAAAAGGGGUGCGAGAAAUGUAUCUUGGUGUAGGGAUAGACGCUAUGUUGAGUACCCAUUGUGCACCUUGUAAGGAAGCCAUGAAUAGGCUCCAUUGUUGCAUCAGUCGAUGGCCAAGAUAAGAAAACCGACAGAUAAGUACAUGAGUAACACCGGGUAAAGUGCGAGCGCUUUCCUCCUCGGGUUGACAGCAGUACUCAUGAAUGGAUAUGCAGCCCAUGAGCUCCAGGCUAAUGUCACAGUGACAACUACCGUUUUAACUAUCAAAUUGUCUUUCAGCAUGCAGAUUAAGGCACCGAUGUCUAGAGGGAAUAGACAGUAACCUAGAAUACUAAGGCUCUGGAAGAAGAUAAUAUGACCACCCUGAAAUAUGAGAAAAUGAUUGUCAAUUAGCAUAGUAACAUCAGCUGUAAAAUAAAUAACUUUCGAGAUUAACCAGAUUUUGACAUAAAAUUCACAUGGGUAGAAAAAAUUAGCAUGUUCAUUUUAUAUGCGCAAUAAGAGGGAGAAAGAAGGGG